GACGGAAGGUGCAAGCGUUGCUCGGAAUCACUGGGCGUAAAGGGUGCGUAGGCGGCCGCGCAAGUCUGGCGUGAAAGCCCCGGGCUCAACCUGGGAAUGGCAUGGGAAACUGGCGGGCUGGAGUGUGGCAGAGGGGGGUAGAAUUCCGCGUGUAGCAGUGAAAUGCGUAGAGAUGCGGAGGAACACCGAUGGCGAAGGCAGCCCCCUGGGCCAACACUGACGCUCAGGCACGAAAGCGUGGGGAGCAAACAGG
RNAcentral lists this ribosomal RNA (253 nucleotides) under uncultured bacterium. Its description in RNAcentral is "partial 16S ribosomal RNA". It matches the Rfam family "Bacterial small subunit ribosomal RNA", at positions 524 to 776 of the family's 1533-position model. The record is from RNAcentral.